RNAcentral lists this ribosomal RNA (283 nucleotides) under uncultured prokaryote. RNAcentral's name for it is "partial 16S ribosomal RNA". It matches the Rfam family "Bacterial small subunit ribosomal RNA", at positions 524 to 817 of the family's 1533-position model. The record is from RNAcentral.
UACGUAGGGGGCUAGCGUUAUCCGGAAUUACUGGGCGUAAAGGGUGCGUAGGUGGUUUCUUAAGUCAGAGGUGAAAGGCUACGGCUCAACCGUAGUAAGCCUUUGAAACUGGGAAACUUGAGUGCAGGAGAGGAGAGUGGAAUUCCUAGUGUAGCGGUGAAAUGCGUAGAUAUUAGGAGGAACACCAGUUGCGAAGGCGGCUCUCUGGACUGUAACUGAUACUGAGGCACGAAAGCGUGGGGAGCAAACAGGAUUAGAUACCCCCGUAGUCCCUGAGCGGGCU